Molecule: ribosomal RNA, 566 nt
Filed under: uncultured bacterium
Lineage: Bacteria
Description: partial 16S ribosomal RNA
Rfam family: Bacterial small subunit ribosomal RNA
Source: RNAcentral
UGGGGAAUUUUGGACAAUGGGCGAAAGCCUGAUCCAGCAAUGCCGCGUGUGUGAAGAAGGCCUUCGGGUUGUAAAGCACUUUUGUCCGGAAAGAAAUCCUUGGCUCUAAUACAGUCGGGGGAUGACGGUACCGGAAGAAUAAGCACCGGCUAACUACGUGCCAGCAGCCGCGGUAAUACGUAGGGUGCAAGCGUUAAUCGGAAUUACUGGGCGUAAAGCGUGCGCAGGCGGUUUGCUAAGACCGAUGUGAAAUCCCCGGGCUCAACCUGGGAACUGCAUUGGUGACUGGCAGGCUAGAGUAUGGCAGAGGGGGGUAGAAUUCCACGUGUAGCAGUGAAAUGCGUAGAGAUGUGGAGGAAUACCGAUGGCGAAGGCAGCCCCCUGGGCCAAUACUGACGCUCAUGCACGAAAGCGUGGGGAGCAAACAGGAUUAGAUACCCUGGUAGUCCACGCCCUAAACGAUGUCAACUAGUUGUUGGGGAUUCAUUUCCUUAGUAACGUAGCUAACGCGUGAAGUUGACCGCCUGGGGAGUACGUCGCAAGAUUAAAACUCAAAUGAAUUGACA